Non-coding RNA from Picea glauca (white spruce), 121 nucleotides. The record is from Rfam. NCBI's taxonomy places the organism in Eukaryota, Viridiplantae, Streptophyta, Pinopsida, Pinales, Pinaceae.
ACAUGCCUACAACAUAGUGUUAAUGCACCAGAUUCCAUUAUAACUCCGCAAUUAAGCGUGCUCAGGCUGGAUUAGCACUAGGAUGGGUAACUGCUCGGGAAGUCCUAGUGUUUUACAUGCC